GGUCCCAUAGCUCAACUGGAUAGAGCAACUGACUUCUAAUCAGUAGGUUGAGGGUUCGAGUCCUUCUGGGAUCG
This 74-nucleotide transfer RNA is filed under the name Rhodobacteraceae bacterium HIMB11. It matches the Rfam family "tRNA". From Rfam's summary of the family: Transfer RNA (tRNA) molecules are approximately 80 nucleotides in length. Their secondary structure includes four short double-helical elements and three loops (D, anti-codon, and T loops). The record is from Rfam by way of RNAcentral. Lineage: Bacteria; Pseudomonadati; Pseudomonadota; Alphaproteobacteria; Rhodobacterales; Paracoccaceae.